RNAcentral lists this ribosomal RNA (469 nucleotides) under uncultured bacterium. RNAcentral describes it as "partial 16S ribosomal RNA". It matches the Rfam family "Bacterial small subunit ribosomal RNA", at positions 28 to 507 of the family's 1533-position model. The record is from RNAcentral.
GAUGAACGCUGGCGGCGUGCUUAACACAUGCAAGUCGAACGGUGAACACGGAGCUUGCUCUGUGGGAUCAGUGGCGAACGGGUGAGUAACACGUGAGCAACCUGCCCCUGACUCUGGGAUAAGCGCUGGAAACGGCGUCUAAUACUGGAUAUGUGACGUGACCGCAUGGUCUGCGUUUGGAAAGAUUUUUCGGUUGGGGAUGGGCUCGCGGCCUAUCAGCUUGUUGGUGAGGUAAUGGCUCACCAAGGCGUCGACGGGUAGCCGGCCUGAGAGGGUGACCGGCCACACUGGGACGGAGACACGGCCCAGACUCCUACGGGAGGCAGCAGUGGGGAAUAUUGCACAAUGGGCGCAAGCCUGAUGCAGCAACGCCGCGUGAGGGAUGACGGCCUUCGGGUUGUAAACCUCUUUUAGCAGGGAAGAAGCGAAAGUGACGGUACCUGCAGAAAAAGCGCCGGCUAACUACGUG